RNAcentral lists this ribosomal RNA (158 nucleotides) under Sundathelphusa boex. RNAcentral describes it as "partial 12S ribosomal RNA". Lineage: Eukaryota; Metazoa; Arthropoda; Malacostraca; Decapoda; Parathelphusidae. The record is from RNAcentral.
AAGGAAAUUAGAUCAAGGUGCAGCUUAUAAGUAAGUUAAAAUGGGUUACAAUAAGAUUUAUUUACUACGAAUAUGUUUAGUAAGAUAAAUAGUGUGAAGGAGGAUUUANUUGUAAUUAGAGUUUAAUAAGCUAGGAUGAUAAAAGCUCUAAAUCGUGU